This 390-nucleotide long non-coding RNA is filed under the name Brassica napus (rape). RNAcentral describes it as "long non-coding RNA (BNAP_LNC004220)". Lineage: Eukaryota; Viridiplantae; Streptophyta; Magnoliopsida; Brassicales; Brassicaceae. The record is from RNAcentral.
UAUAAGGUAAUGUGGGAAGAGGGGAUAUUAUUAAUUCUAUUGUUUAUGUCUUAGUGAGAAGAGAGUGCCGUAGGUUAUAAAUUUUAUUAUAAGGUAAUGUGGGAAGUUUAGGACCACGAUAUAUUUGGAUGGGAAUGGCAUUUUUUGUAAAUACUCUAGUGAACCUUGGGUAGUUUAAUAUGUUGGCUGAGAGAGAAUGUGGAACUGCCACCUCAGGAUGGCAUCCUUGUAAAUAUUCUACCUUUUCAAGGUUUCUUUUUCAAAUUGUUUCUUCAUUAAUAAGUAAGGGAUAUUUUUUUUCUUGUGGGACUCAUCUAAUGCUGAGGUGGAUGCCUCAAGAAAAGAAUAAACGAUGACAUUAUAUAUAUGAUUUUAUAGAUGAUGAAAGAC